This is a microRNA precursor of Medicago truncatula (barrel medic), 113 nucleotides long. It matches the Rfam family "MIR2593 microRNA precursor family". Lineage: Eukaryota; Viridiplantae; Streptophyta; Magnoliopsida; Fabales; Fabaceae. The record is from Rfam.
AUAUAAGCAAAAUUGACUGUUUAGGUUCAUUCAUUUAAUGAUGUAUGUGUCUCAUAAUGUAGACCACAUACAUCAUUAAAUGAAUGAACCUAAAAAGUCAAUUUUGCUUAUAU